UACGGAGUUUUCUAGGGUUCCGCGGUCAGUCAUUUGGCCGGUCAGGACCGAGAGAAAACCCACGACCACGGUCGUGUACACGGAGGGAUAAAAGCCCGGGAGGA
Molecule: small RNA, 104 nt
Filed under: Brevibacillus brevis
Lineage: Bacteria; Bacillati; Bacillota; Bacilli; Caryophanales; Paenibacillaceae
Also listed under: 1 other name
Description: Guanidine-I sequence
Rfam family: Guanidine-I riboswitch aptamer
About the family: This family represents a conserved RNA structure found upstream of the ykkC and yxkD genes in Bacillus subtilis and related genes in other bacteria. The function of this family is unclear although it has been suggested that it may function to switch on efflux pumps and detoxification systems in response to harmful environmental molecules.
Source: RNAcentral